Capsicum annuum is the source of this 74-nucleotide non-coding RNA. NCBI's taxonomy places the organism in Eukaryota, Viridiplantae, Streptophyta, Magnoliopsida, Solanales, Solanaceae. The record is from Rfam.
GUAUCUAUGGCUGAAUGGUUAAAGCGUCUAACUCAUAAUUGGUAAAUUCAUAGGUUCAAGUCCUACUGGAUGCA